Long non-coding RNA from Sorghum bicolor (sorghum), 547 nucleotides. RefSeq lists it as uncharacterized. Lineage: Eukaryota; Viridiplantae; Streptophyta; Magnoliopsida; Poales; Poaceae. The record is from RefSeq and is a predicted model, not a curated record. The transcript has 3 exons.
GAUAUAUGUUAUAUAAAUUCUUUUUAAAAAAUAUAUGUUCCACUUAUAGCGGUGUUUGUUUACAGGUUCUAUUGCCAUAUCAUCACGAUAGACUCUACAUUUUAUUCAUAAUAGACAUGACAAAGAAAUUAGUCUACAUUAUGGAUCCCCUUAGCCCUAAUCUAAAAGAGAAGAUGAUAGGUGAUGAUCGAUGCAGUCCAUAUCGUGAUAUAUUAUCUGAUGUUGCGAAUCACUUCAACCUCGCCAUGAAAUUGGCGAAUCCUGCAUGGAAGGAUAAUAUUUUUGACUGGCAUCGUGAAUUCCCUACAUGGAUUCAAGAACACACAACUAGAAAAAAUCAGGCUUUCUUGUGUAUAAUUACCUAAAGAAGUGGACCGGGGGGAGACUGAUGUUCAACACUGUAGAAGAUACAGAUGGAAUUUUUAGUGGAUAUUACUGAAGCAAUUCAGAGCUUAUCUCUACUACUAAUAGUUUGUAGUAUGCAAUACAUGAUAUUGUAACGCCUUUAUGCAUGGAUGGAUGUACCUCAUACUAUAUUUAUAUUUAU